RNAcentral lists this long non-coding RNA (5237 nucleotides) under Nicotiana benthamiana. RNAcentral's name for it is "long non-coding RNA (NBEN_LNC030942)". The record is from RNAcentral. Lineage: Eukaryota; Viridiplantae; Streptophyta; Magnoliopsida; Solanales; Solanaceae.
GAAAAGAAAAGGUGAUUGAAAUUAGAGAAUGGAAUAAAAGGGAGAAGAUUUUUCUUCAAGUAGGAUCAACUUUUUGGGCUGGCUUUUGAAGGAAAGAGUCAGAGUUUGAGAGUAAAAACAGGUUAGAUUUUUAACACUUAAAAGUUCAGUCUUUGAGAGUUAAAGAACAAAUAAUCAGAAAGUACUAUUCCAUCGCCUCUUUUGUUUCUGGUUCACACUGUUUCUGCCAGUGAUUGCAUUUGGUAUUGCUGGGGUUCCAAGUGGUUUUUCCAGGGUUGCUAUUUGGUUACUUGUUAAUGUUUCAUUGGGUUUUGCUAGAUUUUUGCUUGGUUUUUAAAUCUGUUGCUGGGUGUUGCUGUUGUUGUAUGCUAUUGCUGUGUUGAUUCUCAGCUUCCUCUUCUUUUGCUUUCGAUACCUGGUACACGACUGUAACCCUUCCAAUUUUGUAUGCUGAGACAUGAAGCAUGAAUAUAUAUAAAAGAAUGAAGUUUGAAGUUUUGAAGUUUUGAUUUAGUUUUAACUUUUCUUCUUUCACUAAUUAUAGUUAGGAUAUUUCAUAUACUACUUGUAUGUAAAUUUCUGUCGCUUUGUAUAACUGGACAGUUUUUGUAGUGAUGUAGUCAAUAAUGUUAUGUUAUUUUGGCUUGGUUAUUAGGUACUAUAUGGUCAAAUACAUGUCACAUAGAAUCGGGCCCAGUAGACGUUUUUAAUUACCAUGGCAAUCUAAUUUCAACAUUCAAUGGCUUGAAUUUAGGAUUAAAACUAGACCUCUAAGUUACAUCAUUCCAACUGAUUGCCUUUCUAAAACUUGCAGUAACUUGUUUAAUUAGACAUCAUUGUUUUUAAAUUUCAGCGUUGCAAAUUCUGAAUAUGUGUAAGAUAACUUAAUUAGGCUUCAACGUUUGAAUCGGAUGGCCCAGGUCCCGUUUAAUGCUACAUACGUUUGGACCUGGACCCAUGUUUGUUGAAUUUCCUGUCGAUGUGCACUUAUAUUCUGAUUUUAAAAGACUUUGUUCUGAACCCGACUAUAACAAUUCUUAAGCAUGUAAAUUAAUUAAGACCUUUUCUUCUUCAUUUUUAGAGACGAACAAAAAUAAAAAAAAUGUAGAUACUUUAUGAUUAUCCUUUUAAAAUAAAUGAGAUGAGUCUCCCCUAAUAAAAUACAAAGAUUACGGGGCCCUAACAAGUGUAUAUAUCGAUUACUUAGAACUCAGGAUUGACCGCUUAGUGAAUUUCACGGCCUUUUCCCAAAGUAACAACGCGUUAGUCUCUUUAGGCAUGUAUGUUAAAUAAUCUUACCUUUUAAAACUCGGGUGCGCAUUUAUGUGACCCAAAUCCAAAUCUCAAUGAAGUCGAUGUGUGUCGACAACCACAGGUGCAUUGAUUGCGACGUGGUUCGAGAUGCAUUUUCACGACAUUGCAAUUCUAUUUAAAAUAAUGAUAAAAGCGGUUAUAGUUAAAUAAAAAAACAUAAGUUAUAACAUGUAUUAAAAUCAGAUAUUUAGAACCACGGGAUCCGGGGGUGCCUAACACCUUCCCCCGGGUCAACAAAAUUUCUUACUUAGAAAUUUUUUUUCGCACACUUCGUUUGGAAAGUCAAAUAUUUUCCUCGAAUUGGGAUUCAAGAUAAACCGGUGACUUGGGACACCAAAAGCCAAACCUUUCCCAAGUGGCGACUCUGAAUAAAUAAAUAAUUCCAUUUCGAAUAUAGUCACUUAAAUUGGAAAAACUCCCCUAUGCAUCCAUCCAUCGGGGUAGGCGCGUAAAAAGGAGAUGUGACAUGAUGAUCUCAACAGCUUCGCAUGGUGAUUUAGGAAUUAGUCGCGCAUCCGGAUUCAGAUUUGGAGGUCCGUAGAGAGAAUUGAGGCAUUUCGACGAAAGUUGAAGUUGUAAAAUUAAGAAGUUUGACCCACAGUUGAAUUUUGGGAUAAUGGGGCCGGGAUGCAAUUUCGAGAGUUAAUGCAUCUCCGUUAUGCUCUUUUGGACUUAUAUGCAAAAUUUGGCAUCAUUCUGAGUUGAAUUGAUAGGUUUCAACAUGAGAUUCGUUAUUUGAAGAUUAGAAAUUCAUAAGCUUAAUUUUUGGUUUGAUUCAUUGUUUCGAUGUUGCGUUAUGUGAUUUGGAACUUCGAGCAAGUCCGUGUUAGGUAUAAGCUUGUGUUUAUUAUUAGACGCGGUCCCGAGAGCCUCGUGUGUGUUUCAGAUGGGCCACAUAUCCUUUUCUUCUAUUUUUAAACUGCAGAAACUGCUGCUUCUGAUAUCCUUCUGCGCCGCCUUGCUGAAGAAUACCUGAAAGAUGUUCUUCGAGUUCGCAACUGUCUCUUUGCGUUCAUGAUGUUUUGUGUAUUGCUUCAUUGUGUUCACUUCAAGCAUCCCAUAAUCGCGAAGGUAUAAUUUUCCUUACUUCGCGAUCACAUCUCAGGUCCCGCGUUAGAAUAGAGUAAUCUCUGGACCUCUAUAUUUACUUCAACGCGUUCGCACUCAUUGUUCCUUAAUCGCGAAGCACUGUCUUCCUCUUCUCUGCGAUCACGUUCCUGUCAUUCGGGUUCGCGAUGUACAUUUCUGGGCUCUCUAAUAUUUUCCCAAUGCCAUCGCGACCAUCGUUCCGCGAUCGUGAUGAAGAAAUAACUUGGCAGACAGAUUAAAUUAGGUUUCACCAUUUUAUCAUUUUUUGACUUCUAGAGCUCGGUUCUUGGCGAUUUUUUAAGGGAUUUUCACUUGAGCGACUUGGGUAAGUGUUUCUCACUCAAUUUAGACCAAUUUCCAUGAAUAUCCACUUAAUUUGGUCCUUUAAUUUCAGAUUUCUAAUGAAAAUCGGUAGAACUUCAUAGACUGAAUUAUUGGGUUUUGAGGGAGUGUUUAACCUUCGACCUUCGAGAAUUUUAUAUGGUUGUAUUCGUGAGAGUGCGAGGGUUCUGAAAAUAUUAAAUUUAUCUAACUCUGAGACAUUGUCCUGAUGGGAAUUUUGGUCAUUUUAUCUAAUUUCAUGCUUUAGCAUUGAAUUAAAUUAUAGAAUAAUAUGCUUGAGAUGUUAUUUACAACGUGUGAUUUAAUUGAAUAAAUUUGGUCCAUUUGUAGUCGAGUACUCAUGGCAAGAACGUGGUUGCUAGUUGACCUUAGCCGGUUUGAGGUAAGUAUCUUGCCUAACCUUGUGUGGCCCUUAGGAUUUGAGUCAGCUUUGUUGAUUUUAUUCCGUGUAUGCGAGGUGACGAGUGCGUGCUCGGAUGUGUUUGUGGAAAAUUGUCCCUUUUAGGUUCUUAGUUCCUUGAAAUCACCGAACAUGAAGAUGUUUCUUAAUAUGAUUGAGUUCCUAGUUAUUAGUUUCACCACUACAUGUCGUACUUGGAAUUUAUUUGCCCUUCUUGGCAUAUUCUUGUUACCUAAUUGACUUUCACUUGUUUAACUGUACAUAUUCACCCUUCUAUUGUCACAAUGUCAUUCCUAACUGCUUGUCUUGAUUUGGAAAAAUAGUAUUUCUAUCUCUCAUGCGAUUACUUGUCUUAAUUGGAAAGAAGUUAGACAUCUUAGGUUUAGUUGAUAUUUCCAUAAGUGUAACUAUUUCAUUCAUGUUAACUUCCUUAUUGUCUGGACACUUCUUGAUUGUAACUUCCUCUGUGACUUCGUGCAAAUAUGUUACAUGUCCAAUUGUUGUGGUCACCAAUGUAGCUAUCACACGCUUAUUAUCUCUUGUUAUUUGUUAAGGUUAUUGUUCUUCUUGGUUUUCCGUGACCCUUCUUAUGUAUUAUUGGUUCCCUCAGCGAGAUGUUACUGUUUCCAUUGUUGGUUCCCUUGCCGAGACGUUAUUGUUUCUAUUAUUGAUUCCCUUGCCGGGACGUUAUUCUUUUUAUUGUGGAUUCCCUUGCCGGGAUAUUAUUGUUCUAUUGUGGAUUCCUUGCUGGAUUUCAUUGUAUUCUAUUGUUGGAUCCCUUGCCGGAAUGUUUUUGUUCUAUUAUUUGGGUGAGGAACAGUGAUAAGGCACGAACGGUGAUGCCGUGCACAUGUACAUUUAUGUUGAUAGUGCUGUAAUAUGAGAUACCAAGAGAUACUCGAUACCAAGAACCCCAUCACAUAUAAUAAAGAUACCAAGAGAUCAUCGGGAUACCAAGAGAACCCCAGAACAUAUAUUGAGGAUACGAAGAGAUCCUCAGGAUAACAAUAGAUCUCUAGCACAUAUAGUGAGGACACCAAAAGAUCCUUGGGAUACCAAGAGAUCUCUAGUAAAUAUAUUGAUGAGACCAUGAGAUCCUUGGUAUACCAAGAUAUCCCUAGCACACAUAUUUAUGUUUGGGACUUCAGGAAGAUAUCCUGGGUGAUCCCCUGUUAAACUCAUUUUGUUCUGAGCUUAUGCUUUUAUUGAUUCUAUCCGUGUGCAAACAUUUCGGGUGCUUGACAUUCCACUUCUUAUACUUAUUAGUUAGUGAAGUUCUUGUUAAACACACCUGCACAAGCAUACAGGUAGUUGGACGCUCCCCAAUAGAGGUGAAUACCUUCCGAGUUUUCUAAGGGUGGGGAUACACCCUCAUUCACCUAUUAUAUAUGUGAGAGUGGCUCUAGUUAACCCGUUAGUUGUCAGCAUGACCUUGAGAUUUAUGGGGCACAGGAUGCCAGGUGUUAGAUUUCAGAUACUAGGCUUUUGUAAGUUAUGAUUCAUCCAAGACUUGGUAUAAUUGCGGUAAGAGUUAAAUAAGAUCUUAUGUGAACAUCAUUGGAGGACAUGAGUUGUUGACUAGUUGCCUUUGAUGUGUCAUGACCUUAGGAAUUGGAUUGUGGUUCUGCCGUCAUUUCAUAUCAUCAUUUAUUAUAUUCUCGUUGUUACUUGUUUCAUUUCCCUUUAUUGUGAACUGUAGCAUUUUUAACCAUCCAUGCAGACUCCACAUAGUUAUAUAUCUUUUUUUUAUCUCUCAUGAUUAUACUGUUUAUUUGACUGGUAGGUGCCUUAGCUAUUCCUCAUCACUACGCCAUCGAGGUUAGUCGUGGUACUUACUGGGCACCGCCGUGGUGUGCUCAUGCUACUCUUCUGCACAUUUAUGUUGUGCAGAUACAUGUACUCCCACUUAGUUCUGUUAGCCUUGGAAGGAUGCGUAUCGGUAGAGACUUUGAAGUAUAUCUGCUACAUCCGCAGACCGAGGAGUCCCUUUCCAGCUUUCUAUAAUAAGUAUAGCUCCUUCAGUAUUUUCUCCUUUGUAUAUACAUUCUUGAGUCAGAGCCUCUUAUGUAUACCUUAGCUUGUAAUUUGUGAG